AUACGUAGGGGGCGAGCGUUGUCCGGAAUGAUUGGGCGUAAAGGGCGCGUAGGCGGCCCGGUAAGUCUGGAGUGAAAGUCCUGUUUUUAAGAUGGGAAUUGCUUUGGAUACUGUCGGGCUUGAGCGCAGGAGAGGUAAGUGGAAUUCCCAGUGUAGCGGUGAAAUGCGUAGAGAUUGGGAGGAACACCAGUGGCGAAGGCGACUGAAUGGACUGUAACUGGCGCUGACGCGCGAAAGUGUGGGGAGCAAACUGGAUUAGAUACCCUUGUAGUCCACACUGUAAACGAUUAAUUCUAGGUGUAGGGUGUAUCGACCCCUUCUGUGCCGCAGUCAACACAAUAAGCAUUCCGCCUUGGGAGUCCGGCCUCAAGGUUGAAACUCAAAUGAAUUGACAAGG
RNAcentral lists this ribosomal RNA (397 nucleotides) under uncultured bacterium. RNAcentral describes it as "partial 16S ribosomal RNA". It matches the Rfam family "Bacterial small subunit ribosomal RNA", at positions 523 to 918 of the family's 1533-position model. The record is from RNAcentral.